This is a long non-coding RNA of Dendronephthya gigantea, 805 nucleotides long. RefSeq lists it as uncharacterized. The transcript has 3 exons. The record is from RefSeq and is a predicted model, not a curated record. Lineage: Eukaryota; Metazoa; Cnidaria; Anthozoa; Malacalcyonacea; Nephtheidae.
GACGAACUCGUGAUUUGGCCUAUUUGGUCUUAAACUAAAUAAAGUUGAUCAACCACGACAGUGAAGACACUAGCAGUCUACAAAGAAUAUCAUCCAACAAACUGUAAAGAUUUUUUCGAAGAUCAUUACAAUAUUUGAAUGAUGCUGAUUUGCAUGAUGACAAUGAAAUUGAACCAAAGAAAUGUCAUGGAUUCCGAUAAUGAUCUUGUAGAAAGUGGCGAAGAUAUGGUGGACGCCAUAUAUCCAGCAAAUUAUGGAGCCCCAGGAGAAAUACGUUAUGAGAUAAAAAUACUUCAUAUUCCAAGAAAAAGCUGUAAACAAGAGUAUGGAAUGGACUCGACGUGGAAAGAUUCAAAUGAUGGAGGUCGUGAAAAUAUUGAACACGAUUUCCUAAAACGUUUGAGGAAAAUAUUUUCGAAGAUUAUUACAGCAAUUAACUCCUUUUUUUAAUAUUUUUUAAUAUUACUGUCAUCACAAUAAUUGUGUACAGAGAUACAAAUUAUUUAUUCUUUCAACUGUAAAAUUACAAGUAUACUUAACCAUGUAAAGGCAGUUUUGGUAAGAAAAUUUAAGGGUCGUCAAUGGUUUGUUAACCAAAUGCACAGGUAUAGAAAAUAUUCCUUUGCAUUAGCCACAUUGACGACAAUUUUGACUAAAGGCCCUGUUACACGGUGCAAUUUUUCUUGCAACUUGCAAUGCAAUUCUAUUUUUAAGAGAUUUAAGUUAGUGAAGAGUUAUUGUACGAAGCGCCCUGGAGUAAAAAAAGACAAAAGUUCUGUAUAGUUACCAAAUUUACAUAAUUUUA